Long non-coding RNA from Mobula hypostoma (lesser devil ray), 4440 nucleotides. RefSeq lists it as uncharacterized. The record is from RefSeq and is a predicted model, not a curated record. NCBI's taxonomy places the organism in Eukaryota, Metazoa, Chordata, Chondrichthyes, Myliobatiformes, Myliobatidae. The transcript has 3 exons.
GACUUGGCCUCUACAGCCAUCCAUGGCAAUGAAUUCCACAGAUUCAACAUCGUCUGGCUAAAGAAAUUACUUCUCAGCCCUGUUCUCAAUGGUUACGGUUACGGUUCUGUAAUGGAUCCCGCAACCCUCUUGGUCAUAGUGUACCAGACUGGCUGACUAUUUCCAGCAUUUUCUGGUUUUAGUUUGGAUUUCCAACAUCUGAAGCUUCUUUGGUAUUCAAACCUCUGCCAGCCAAGUACAUCUCCUGGUCUUCAUGUGUGGCUUUACUAAGUCCGGUGGAACCGUUUCUACUGACAGGAGAAGGGGGAAAGAAGGGAUACCGGCACCUUAAAACCAGUCACUUUGGACAGAUGGGGCUCAUCAGUGGAUGGCAGUUCAUCUAGGAGAAGGAAAACUCUGAUCUCAAAUCUUCACUGCCUUGCGGAUAUACCCACUCAUGGGGAAGGCUUGGGGAGCAAAUCCCAAAGAAAAAUCCGGAGGUGGAAUCUCUAAGGUAGUCCUAGUUGAGUUCAAUGCUGACUGGCAGCUCCUAUGAUGCUGCUGGUGUCAAACUGUAUUGGUCUCUGCUGUUCCUUUGGAUUCAUCAGCUGCAUGAACAGGGGGAGCCUGAUGUAUGGGCAACAACUUAUAUCGUACUGCCCGGGCUUAUGUAUUGACUUUGAAGCUAGGACACAAUAUUCAUGGACGAACCCAACCAACAGAAGCCAUCAUUAUCUAAAAUCUGUUAAAAAAAAUACAUAAAAUCCUUGUGGUGUCCUCAGUGUGCAUUGGAUAAGAUCUAAGGAGGAUGAGUUACAUUUAUGUUUCACUUUUAAAAGUUUUGGUAGCUUGAAAGUAUCUUGCAGCUAGACCUUGCUUUUAGAGAACAAUUAAAACCAGUAAUUUGCUUAUUAUUACACUGGAUGCAUUCAACACAUUGGGCUGAAGACAUUUCGUAGCAGAACAAUCCUUUCAGUCCCUUCCUCUCUCUGAUACUGUAUAUGUAUAAAACUGUAAUACAUUUCCUCGCAAAUACCAGCCUCAGAAUACAAGGACUUCUCUUUAGAAGAGAGAUAAGAAGGGAUUUCUUCAGCCAGAGGGUGGUGAAUGCUUGGAAUUCAUUGCCAUGGACAGCUGGGGAAGCCAAGUCAUUUGGUAUACUUAAAGUGGAGACUGAGAGAUUCUCCAUUAGUAAGGAUGUCAAGGAUUACAGGGAGAUGGCAGGAGAGUGAGGUUGAUUCAGAAAAUAAAUCAGCCAUGAUCAAGUGAUGGAGCAGUGUCAAUGGGCUGAAUGCUUCAAUUCUGCUCCUAUGUCUUGGCUGGAAUAAAGUAUCUUCAGCUCCUAUUUGAAUCUCUUGUUAUUAUUUCUUAUGAAGGCUAAGUUACAGAAUUCAUUAAUCUACAACAUAUCAUGAGGAUAGGGGAGGAAGUAACAUGAUACACUUGCACAGGGAGAACAUGCAGAUUCCACACAGGCAGCAGUCAAGGUCAGGAUCAAUUCUAGGCUGCAGGAGCUGUGACCUUUUUAUGUCUCUAACCCAUAGUGAUUUCUCCUUUCAGUAAAAAAAUCCCCCUCCCCUCUUCUUCUGUUUCCCACUCUAGCCUCCUAUCUCUUCUCACCCGCCUAUCACCUACCCCUGUGGUGCACCUCCUCCUUCCCUUUCUCCUAUGGUCCACUCUCCUUUCCUAUCAGAUUCCUUCAUCUCUAGUCCUUUAUCUUUCCUACCCUCCUGGGUUCACCUAUCGCUGUCUAGCUAUUCUCCUUCCUAUCAACCCUCCUUUUUUUUAAUUCUGGCAUCUUCCCCUUCCUUUCCAGUUUUGAAGAAGGGUCUCAGCCCAAAACAUCAACCGUCUGUUCAUUUCCAUGGAUGCCGCCUGACCCGCUGAGUUCCUCCAGCUUUUGUGUAUAUGUCACUUUUUAUGACUGUCAGAGAGGCAAGUUUAAGUUCCUUACAGAGUCUCAAUCAUGGUCAAGAUUAUGAUCACCGACACCCAUGCCCAAACUGAUGGUGAUGAUCACUGAUAAGUCAUGAAAUGUAAAACAUAAAAAGUCGCUGUAAGUUAUGUUAAAUGAACUUACUCACUGGCGUUUAGGGCAGUGAUGAAGGUCUUCUAUCUCUAGCAGUGUCCAGGGCUUUCUUUAUCAUGUCCGUAGUUUCCCCUCAAUUUUCACUACUGUCAGUUUUGUAAGUCCCAGCCAGACACUCAGGAAUAGCAUCACACUCAGAUGUAGAGAAUUCUUCAUUGCCAUUUCCAUAACAAUUUUGUUUUACCAGUCAGUGUUGUUAGCCCUGAGGUGAACCCCCGACCAGUGGACCACUCUUAGUCUGGCCUCUAUCCUUUGUCUUGUUUGGCUUGGGUGACCCUACCAAAAGCCAAAGCACAAGACCCUGACUCCAAUCAACACAGCUCUGUGGGUGAUUGAGGGACGCAAGCUUCUAACCCUAUGGCAAUGUUGUGGUCCUCUUGGAAGUAUGAUAACUGAAUGAAUGAAUAAAUAGAUAAGGAUAGAUAGAUUAACAAAUGAGCAAAAAUAGAUAGAUAAAUAAAUAGAGUGAAAGAGGAAAGCCACCUUAACAAUGCGCCAUUAUUGUACACCAGUGAAGAAAAAAAAGAUUGACAAAACACGAUAUUACUACAGAAACAAACACAAUCAGAGACAUCGACAGUAGUGCAAGAGGUCCGUAGUUUCCCAUUGCUGAUGUACAUGUAGGGUUGUACAGAUCGGUUCAAGAAGCUGAUGAUUGUAAGAAAGUAUCUGUUCCUGAACCUGGUAAUGUGGGUCUUCAGGCUUCGGUGCCCCUUGCAGAAUGACGGCAGUGAGAAGAGGGCAUGACUCAGAUGGUGGGGAUUCUUGAAGGUGGAUGUGGCCUUCGCAGGGCAGCGUCUUGAGUAGACACGUCUCAUGUCGUUCCUUAUUAAUUACCUGGUAUGGCUGCUGAAGGCAGUGUUUCUGUAGCGUUUGGAAUUUCUCCUUGUAUUUAAUGUUGUGGAAUGAAUUCUUCAUUAAGCUCCCACCAUCCAGCCUGAUCUGAAUGCGACCUGCCAUGGCCUAAUGAGGCAAAGGGAUAUUCACUGUGUAAUGAGAAGUACUGGGGGGGGGGGGGGGGGGUGACAGUGCACGUUUAAUUGACAGCGAGAGACGCAAAAAAGCACUUUGCCUCGAAAGGUAACUGGGGAGGAUCCAUUACGGUUCCGUGCUAGCACUUGUUGCAGGCUACGUCAAGAGCUUGGGUUCUGGAUGACUAAAGUAGCGUGGCAUUUAACAGUAACAUUCAAAGCAAGAUUUCACAUCCUGGCUAAGGCGCUACCUUUAUUUAUGUGCUACUUACUGGUGGCAGGUGCGAAUGCCGAGUUAACAUAACUUGUUCGCGCUGUUCCCUGGGCUCACCAAAAUACAAAUUUAGCACUCAAUGCAUUACUUCACAGUUAAGGGUUAUCUUGCAACUUUGCGCACCCGGUACUGAUUCUAAUCUCCUGCGUUACAUUCUAUGAUAAUAGUCCAAACACCUAUCGGAAUGUUUCACUUUAAAGCACAUAGUAAUGUCGGUUUGCCUCUAUAAUUAACGAUCUGUUAAUGAAUUUGCGUUCUCCGAAAUUGUAACCUACAUUUUUCGAUCGGAGUUAAAUUCCAGAUACGACCACGAGUCUGAAAUCAUUGCCAAUUUACUUUCCCGAGGUCCUGUGUCAAAUCCGCGACUCUCAGGAAUACCGACGACGGGAAUUUCUACGAAUGAGAGCAGUCGAACUGGUUGCAUCGCCGUCUGGUAUCAGGAGUCACUGCACAGGAUCGAAAAAAAAGCAGCAGAAAGUUGCAAACUCAACCAGCUCCAUCGUCAGUACUAGCUUCCCCAGCAUGGAGGACAUCUUCAAAAGGCGAGCGACGCCUCAAAAAAGCGGCACCCAUUAGCAAGGACCCCCACAAAGGACAUGCUUUCUCAUUGCUUUCUUCCGAGAAGAGGUACAGGAGCGUGAAGACACCGAGUCAACGUUUCCUCGGCCAUUAGAUUUCUGAAUGGACAUUGAACCCAUGAAUACUACAUCACUGUUAUUUUUCUUUUUUUUUGCUCAAUUUUACAAUACUUAUUUAAUUUAUAUAUAUCUUACUGUAAUUUAUAGAUUUUAUUAUGUAUUGCAAUGUACUGCUACCGCAAAACAAUAAAUAUGACGACAUAUGCCAGUGAAACUGAUACUGAUUCUUUUUUUUAAGUUAAACAUUGGAAGGUGUAUCUGUAUUGCGCCAUCUCGUUAACGGAAGAGCUAUUCGCUGCGAGGAUUCGUGGAAGCUUUGAAAAGUUCAACUUGAGAAAAUGCAAUUUCGUUAGCUAGUGUUCGGUUAUGAAAGAAAAUAGCCUCUUUUUUUUCUUGGAGAAAACCCUUACACACGGGAAAUUUCAAAUGGCUGCAUUUAUAAUGGAAUGACGAGGUGACAUGUGUAAGGCAAGGUUUUCCUGUGGGUAG